Carassius gibelio (silver crucian carp) is the source of this 417-nucleotide long non-coding RNA. RefSeq lists it as uncharacterized. NCBI's taxonomy places the organism in Eukaryota, Metazoa, Chordata, Actinopteri, Cypriniformes, Cyprinidae. The transcript is spliced from 2 exons. The record is from RefSeq and is a predicted model, not a curated record.
UCUAUCAUUAGCUCUGGUCACCAUGCAGGACACAGACAUGAAGAGCUGGUUACAAAGCUCCUGUUCAGCAGGCUUUUAAACGGAGGUCUAGUGUACCUACAUAUUCUAUAAGGCAGAAUAUUUUAUAGACGUUUCAACUUCAAAUUAUAAUUCAAAUUAUAAUUAUAAUUAUUCUUUGAACAGUUACUGGUUACAGGCCAUUCUUGAGAUGAAGAGCCGAUGAGCGGGCGAUCUGAGCUAAGAGCUGGUGCAAUCCUGUGAAACUGCUGUGAAUGCACGAUUGAGUAGUGGACCGCGUGUCUGGGGACGACCGUGCCAUUAGGCAUUAUAUCACCUACACCAGAAUCUGCCGCUGUACUUUAAAUGGGCUAGGCUGACAAUGUUGAAACUCUAUCUCAUAAAUAUCUUUGUACAUUU